Molecule: long non-coding RNA, 1202 nt
Organism: Salvelinus sp. IW2-2015
Lineage: Eukaryota; Metazoa; Chordata; Actinopteri; Salmoniformes; Salmonidae
Source: RefSeq, a predicted model, not a curated record
UUUCUUGGUCAACCUUGUGUUCUUUUUAUUUGUGUUCUUGAACAUAACCCUGUUUCUUUGUGUUCUGGAACUUAGCCCUGUCUUUAAUUUUUGUUGAUUGAUUUCACCUGUGUUUGGUCUCAUCAGUUCCCUAUUUAGUUCAGUUCUUUCUGUUUGUAUGAUUGUGAGGUAUUGGUUGUUUUUGAACAUUGCCUGUGACCACGAUUCCUGUCUUUUGCAUCAGACUGUGGCCCUCAGUUCACCUCACUUGUAUGGAAAGAAUUCAUGGAACGCCUGGGGGUCAUGGUCAGUCUCCCCUCUGGGUACUGUCCUCAAGCUAAUGGGCAGGUGGAGCAGGUUAAUUAAGAAGUGGGCAGGUUCCUGAGGUAUUACUGUCAGGACCGGUGGGAGAGUGGGUGGAUUUUCUACCUUGGGCUGAGUACAUGCAGAAUUCCCUCCGCCACUAACCUCAGUCCUUUCCAGUGUGUGUUGGGGUAUCAGCCGGCCUUGGCAUCCGAGCCAGACUGAGGCCCCUGCGGUGCAGGAGUGGUUUCGGCGUGCUGAGGAGACCUGGAACGCUGCGCACACUCGUCUCCAGUGGGCAGUGUGUUGGCACAAGAAACAGGCCGACCGCCACCGCAGUGAGGCGCCUGUUUUUUUCUCCAGGCGACCAGGUCUGGCUCUCCUGUAACCUACCCCUCCGCCUGCCCUGCCGGAAGCUGAGUCUUUGGUUUGUGGGCCAGUGGUGCCUGGUCCCCUCGCUGAGGCUGGACCCAGUGAUGCCCUGCCUCCUCUUCUGGACAUCGAGGGAGGUCUGUCGUACUUGGUCAGUGAAGUUCUGGAUUCGAGGCGUCAGGUCUCCAGUACCUCAUCGACUGGGAGAGGUACGGCCCAGAGGAGUGGCGACGUGUUCCUGCGGUGGACAUCCUGGACGCUUCGCUGACCAGGGAUUUUCACCAUUGACUGACCCACACCUUGUCCCUGAGGCCGGUACUCAGAUCUGUCUUGUCUCAUUACGCACACCUGGUUCCCCCUGAUUAGUGUGUGCCCUCUCUUCCCCAUUGUGCUUUUUUUUUAUUGUCCAUUGGUGUUGAGUACCUGUGUUCUGUUGUAUUGUGCACUUAUUACGGGUCUCGUUCUUUUUUUUGUCUUUGUUUUGGGCUUCAUCCCCGUUUUCAUAACGUACUUUAUUUUAAAUGUAUAAAUAAAACCCCUUAGGCAAA